CCAAAAAUUUAAAAGAUUAGAUUAUAUUUAAGCAUUUCAUAACCCAACAGUGUUCUCACUGCCGUUAGAAAGAUCAAAAAACAGCUGUUAUUGUCAUUCAAGAAUUCACAUCGCUUAAUAUUUAUCAAAAGAAAAGAUUGUCAUAUGGUAUUUUGAAAUAAAAAGACGGCUUUUUUUUAAUAUUUUCCAUAUAAUAGAAAUAAUGGAUGCAUUUUUUCAUUUGUUAAGUCGAUUUUCAGAUGAAAUUAGAUUCAUUGCUUAAAAAAAAAUUUGUUUGUUUACAUUUUUUUCCCUUUGUAGUGUCUAAAUCAGCUGUGAUAAUGUAACAGAUUUCCAGUGCUGACAAGUAGAUUGCGUAAAAUCAGAGUCGCACAGAGAGAUUUAGCGUGGAUCAGUUUCAAAUCAUUUCAAUGAAGUGAUUUGGAAUUGUCAUUUUUGUAUGGCGAAAUCUUGAUAAAUUUUUAAGAUUAGUGGGAUAAUCCAUUCAACAGCCGAAAUCGUGUGAUUAAGUGUCGGUCUGAACAUGGUAUGAGGGAAUAACCUCAUAACUUAAUAGUUUAUACAGAUACUUGGAAAUAUUGUUAACAAAGUGAUUUUGUUUUGUAUUUUUUAAGUUGAUUUUUACAAUAGCAAAGAAUAUGGUAUCAUAUUACAAUUUUACUGAUUUCCGGUUGUGCUAUUUAUUUCAUUAAGAAAUCCAGCAUAUUUAUCAGUUUUACUGUUUGUUGCUGGCUUAUUUAUACAUAUAUGUAACUCGCGUGAUGCCGUGACAACUGAAAACGGGUUUCAUUUAUAUUGUAAAAACAUCUCUGAAUAAUAAAAUGUAACAGAUUAUGUGACUGUCACUUACAGAAUAGCAAAAUCGUCUCAAGUCUCAAAAAUUGUCUCUAACUUAAAAUUUCAAAUUAAGAGACUUGAGACUGUAUCACAGUACAGAAUCGCAUGAUAUUAUUAUCAUUUUUAUUUAAAUAAUCUUUUCUUUCAAAUGCUAUUAAUAUUUUUAAUUCGGUGUACAUGUUCGGGUUAUUUUUUUGUAUUGCUAGAUGCGAGUAAAAAAAGUUAUCUCAUUUAUUAAUUUACUUCAAUGAGUGCGAAUGAGAAAACAUAAUUGUCAAUAGUGCCAAAAGAAAAUCCCAAAAAGGGUAAUAAAAAACGAUUGAAAGACGCAUGUCAUUUGCGCUCGUACAACCAGAAGCAUUGGAAAUCAGAACAGAAUUGGAAAUAGCAGCAGCAGCAAUAUUAUCAGAAGCAGUAAAUAUAAAUUGUUAAGUAAUAGCGGGAUUCUGUAACAGUCUCUAGUCUCUAUUUUGAGGUAAAGUCUCAGUUUGUGUCUAGUUACUAUUCAUUAAAUAGUCUCUAGAGUUAGUCUCUAAAUAUUGCCUCAAAUUUGAGGCCUGAUAGUUAGCAGGUCAGAAAACUAAAAAGAACUCUUGUCUACCAUUUUGAAUAUACUGAAUAGAGAUCAUCACAGAUAUUAAUCGGUUGUCGUUUUUUUAUAUUUUGUAAGCAACUCAAACACGAAAAGGUUAAAAAUAAAUCAAUUUUACAUAAAUUUCCUAAAUACUAUGAAACAAAGUCAACAUAUAUUUUUAUUUUUAUUGAUACUUAUGUUUUUUGACUGU
Long non-coding RNA from Bactrocera neohumeralis, 1622 nucleotides. RefSeq lists it as uncharacterized. The transcript has 4 exons. Lineage: Eukaryota; Metazoa; Arthropoda; Insecta; Diptera; Tephritidae. The record is from RefSeq and is a predicted model, not a curated record.